Molecule: ribosomal RNA, 253 nt
Filed under: uncultured bacterium
Lineage: Bacteria
Description: partial 16S ribosomal RNA
Rfam family: Bacterial small subunit ribosomal RNA
Source: RNAcentral
UACGUAGGGUGCGAGCGUUGUCCGGAUUGACUGGGCGUAAAGCGCACGCAGGCGGUCGUGCGCGUGGGGUGUGAAAUCUGGCCGCUUAACGGCCAGGCGCCAUCCCAUACGGCACGACUGGAGGGCUGCAGAGGUCGAUGGAAUUGCCGGUGUAGUGGUGAAAUGCGUAGAGAUCGGCAGGAACACCCAGGGGGAAACCAGUCGACUGGGCAGCACCUGACGCUGAGGUGCGAGAGCGUGGGGAGCGAACCGG